Molecule: long non-coding RNA, 578 nt
Filed under: Cyanistes caeruleus (blue tit)
Lineage: Eukaryota; Metazoa; Chordata; Aves; Passeriformes; Paridae
Description: lncRNA (ENSCCEG00000019490.1)
Source: RNAcentral
GCCACAGUUAUUGAAUGCAAAGUGACAUGUUUGCAAUGAUCUCAUUAUUUUUCUGUUUAUUCUAAUUUGAUAAUACACAUAUUUUUCUAUCAAUAUCUAUACUUCCUUAAACUUUUCUGGGGUAUUUUGUUUUCUUUUUCUAAAAGAUUGUAGUUUUCUCUUUCUUUAUUGGACGAUUUUUAUUUCUCAUAUAGUGAAAAGUAUUUUCUGGAAACAGAGGAUGCUAAACCACAAGGGCCACCUAAGAUGAAUCUCUGGUCAAGACAAGUCAAUUUUGACCUGGUGAAGGCACAGUGAAGUUGAUGGCAUUACUCUGAAGUGAAACCAUUGCAAAGAGUUGUAAGGCCAGGCUGCAGUAAUGUGAUGACUGGAAAAUAGCUCAAGUGGAAAUAAAAAAAGGACAUUGGAAACAGAAGUUACUUUUCUGAACUGAUUCAGAACUGAAUUCUCAGUUAUUGGUGUGAGUGCAAUGUUACAGCUCCUGAUGGUCUCAGUCUCAACCCAGCUUCUGUCUCAGGGCUAUGUCACUUACAGAACGUGCAGCAGGUACCAAGUCCUCCAGUACUGAGACAUAGGAG